CGAACGCUGGCGGCGUGCUUAACACAUGCAAGUCGAACGGAAAGGCCCUGCUUUUGUGGGGUGCUCGAGUGGCGAACGGGUGAGUAACACGUGAGUAACCUGCCCUUGACUUUGGGAUAACUUCAGGAAACUGGGGCUAAUACCGGAUAGGAGCUCCUGCUGCAUGGUGGGGGUUGGAAAGUUUCGGCGGUUGGGGAUGGACUCGCGGCUUAUCAGCUUGUUGGUGGGGUAGUGGCUUACCAAGGCUUUGACGGGUAGCCGGCCUGAGAGGGUGACCGGCAACAUUGGGACUGAGAUACGGCCCAGACUCCUACGGGAGGCAGCAGUGGGGAAUAUUGCACAAUGGGCGGAAGCCUGAUGCAGCAACGCCGCGUGCGGGAUGACGGCCUUCGGGUUGUAAUCCGCUUUCGCCUGUGACGAAGCGUGAGUGACGGUAAUGGGUAAAGAAGCACCGGCUAACUACGUG
RNAcentral lists this ribosomal RNA (466 nucleotides) under uncultured bacterium. RNAcentral's name for it is "partial 16S ribosomal RNA". It matches the Rfam family "Bacterial small subunit ribosomal RNA", at positions 30 to 507 of the family's 1533-position model. The record is from RNAcentral.